RNA transcript from Papaver somniferum (opium poppy), 2923 nucleotides. It is a transcript of the gene named ribosomal RNA small subunit methyltransferase, mitochondrial-like, with no coding region annotated. The transcript has 3 exons. The record is from RefSeq and is a predicted model, not a curated record. Lineage: Eukaryota; Viridiplantae; Streptophyta; Magnoliopsida; Ranunculales; Papaveraceae.
AACACUUCUGAUGUUUAACAUAGCUAAAUAUCUGUCACUAAUUCUCACUAAAGAAAUUCAGAAAAGCAAGUCACUCCUUUUUUUUGCCACAAAAUCGAGUCGUCAUUAUAAUCUGUUCAAAAAGAACGAUGAAGACGAAUUAUACAAAGGCAAAAAAACAGAGAAAUCUUAAAGAGAACAAGGAAGAAACUAGAGAAGAAGAAAAGGGACAUAGGAGUAUUCACUUGCACAAAAGCAGGGGUCAACAUAUUCUUACAAAUCCUAGAGUACUUGAUGCUAUUGUAAGUAAAGCUGAUAUCAAACCUACUGAUACAAUUCGUGAAAUUGGACCUGGUACUGGUGAUCUUACUCUACGUCUCCUCGAGGUUGCGAAGAAAGUUAUCGCUGUUGAAAUUGAUAAAAGAAUGAUUGAAAUUCUUAAUAAGCGUGUUUCUGAACAUGGGUUUGAAGAUAAAAUCAAUGUUAUAUCUGGGGAUGCAUUGAAGGCUGAGUUUCCUCAAUUCGAUAUAGUUGUUGCCAAUAUCCCGUACGGGAUAUCUUCGCCACUUAUAGCUAAACUUGUGUUUGGAGAUUACUCAUUUCGAAGUGCAAAACUAUUAAUGCAGAAAGAAUUUGUUCGGAGAUUGUUGGCGAAACCAGGUGAUUCUGAAUUUAAUCGGUUGGCUGUGAAUGUGAAGCUUGUGGCUGAUGCGAAAUUUGUUAUGGAUGUAAGCAAGAGGGAUUUUGUACCUUGCCCUCGAGUGGAUUCAUCUGUUGUGAAAAUCACCCCGAAAGAUGAAGUUCCGGAUGUUAAUAUGAAUGAGUGGUUGGCUUUUACUAGAGCAUGUUUUAGUAAGAAGAAUAAGACUUUGGGUGCUACAUUUAAGCAGAAGAGGAAGGUUGCUGAAUUGCUGAAAAGAUCACAAUUGACGAAUGAACGAGAAGAGACUGUGAUGAUUGCUAGUGACGAGGGCGAUGCCGAUGAAAGGGUGGAGGAAAUAGAUGAAGAGAAAGAGCAAGAGAGUGAUGGGGAAGAAUAUGUAUCUGAUUCUAGUUUGGGAACAGAAAUGAGUGUGUUCAAGGACAAGAUUGCUGAAGUUCUAAAAGUCGGUGGAUUCGAAGAUAAAAGACCUUCAAAGCUGUCAAAUGAGGAGUUGCUGUGCUUGCUUUCUCUCUUCAAUCGUUCUGGUAUACGUUUUCAUGAUAGUAGACAUGGAAAUGUUGAUCCAGGUGUUGUAUUAGAUGAAUCUUUUUAAAGUUAUAGUCCAAAGGCGUGGAUCCAAACAGUUCCAAAGGCCUAUUUGGUAACCCUGAUUUAAUGUUUAUUUAUUUAUUUAUUUUUAAACUCAUUUCUAGGGUUAUUCACAUGAGUAUGACGUUUGGAGAGGAGAAGUUGUCUCCAUGGAGAAGACGCAAACCGAUGGUAGAAAAUAUGAAGAGGAAGACGAUGGAAAGGAAUGACCGGACCUUUGUUUUGUGCUAUCCCAACCUCGUUGCUUUUAGAGAUGUUGGCGAAAUCUUGAUGGAAUUUGAGAAAAUCAGUUUGAACGUAGUAAGGAUGAGAUUAGUAUGCGCCACACCAAAAUUCCUGACGCAAUUCAUCUCCAUACAUUUUCCCCGAUAUUGCUCCAGCAGGUUUUGUCCCUAUCCUUUUGUAGCUUUGGUAUUGGAAGGUAACGACGCUAUUAGUAAAGUUCAUCAGCUUACAUCAGAAACGGAAAGAUUUCCCUUCCGGUCGCCUGCCAUUCGUGCUUACUGCAGUGUUUCGGUUCAUGUGAAUUGUGGUUUUGUGCUGGCUCUGCUGAUGACUGGAUAGAAGAAGCAACAAAAAGCAGUCAUCUGGCGUGCGCACUCCCUGAUGGCAAAACAUUUGGCCCGGUUGAUGCGGUGUUGGAGAAGUUGCGGGAACAGGAUCUCCUUAGGUGCAGAUACUUUGAGAAAGAGGCUUUAUUCAGGAGUUUCUACAACAAUUUUUACCAUGAACAUCUGACAUUCUUCUUAAUCAGGCCUUUGGCUUUCCAAAAGCGGUGUGUGGGUCUACUGCUAUCCAUUAUUGAGAACAUAGAUUUUGGCAUCAUGGGUAUGGGUUUGGUAACAAAAUCCCAAGUCCCUACCAGCGAUGCAUGGCCUGCUGAUUCUUGUUCCUCACCUGAAGUAGAUGGAUAUGGUGUUGCCUUGCUUGUGGAGUGUAUCAACCAUAAGGCAAUACAAAUAAACACGAGUUGUAGAGAUGCUCGUAUAUUGAUUGACAAAGACGAUGGGACGGUUGAAAUUUGCAGCGACUUAGUUUACAGGUGACAGGAGUAUGAUUGGCCAUUAUUUCAAAUUCGGUACUGUUUCCUGGCUGGAUUCCGGUAGUGGUGCUAGCUGUGGCGGGUUUUUCUUGGCAACCUUGUCGAACCUUCAAUUUUAAGGUUGUAUCUAGGCUAGGGAUGCAUUGAAGGCUGAGUUUCCUCAAUUUGAUAUCGUUGUUGCAAAUAUCCUGUACGGGACAUCUUCGCCACUUAUAGCUAAACUUGUGUUUGGAAAUUACUCGUUUCUUAGUGCAGCGCCUGUUAUUGCAGAAAGAAUUUGUGCAGAGGUUGUUAAGGUGACUCUGAAUUCAAUCGAGGACGAUAAUGAUGAAAGGAUAGAGGAAGUAGAUGAAAAGAAAGAGCGAGAGAGUGAUGGGGAAGAAUAUGGCUGAUUCUAGUUUGGGAUCAGAGAUUCAGAAAUGAGAUUGUUCAAGAACAAGAUUGUCGAAGUUCUAAAAGUUGGUGACUAAAAAGACCUUAGAAGCUGUCAAAUGAGGAGUUGGCUGUUGGCGUUGUCAUGAUAGUAUACACGGAAAUCUUGAUCUCCAUGUUGAUUAAGAUGACUCUUUUUUCAUGUUAUGCUAUAACUAGAAUUUCAGUUGUAUUCAAGAGAUUUUGAACGAGGAAUACUGAAUGAUCAACUAGAUUGC